AGUUGUUUGCUUUUCAAUUUCAAAACUUUUGCGUAACUGAUUUUGAAUGGAUUUUGAUGUUUUAUUAUGGCUAUCGAUCAUCGAUGCUAUCGAUAGUCAAAGUAUACUAAAUGUUCUAUUUUGUUCCCUUUUCCGUUUUUACAUUGAAAUGAAAUGAAAUUUAUUUAUUUGCUAAAUAUGCGUGGUUAACAAAGGUCUUAUAAUCUAAAAUAGUCCCUGCAUAUUUACUGAAAUUUCAGUAUGCAAAUAUUAAUAAUAUACUCUACAGAAGAUAGCGGUGCCGAUGGCCUAAAAUUUUAUGACAACGCAUGAUAUGAUAUAUCGUGGAAACUUUCAUAGGAAACGUAUUGAGGUGUGGCGUCGCACCGCAAGUAUAGUAGAAGGUUCCUUAAUAUUUUGCUGAAGGAAGAAGGAAAACAAAUGAAAAGCUUUAAAAAAAUGUGAAAAUUUAUUAGUUGUAUAUACCUAAGGUACUUAAAAUUACAAAUAAAAAUAUUCCUACGCAUUCCAUACACAA
Long non-coding RNA from Maniola jurtina (meadow brown), 517 nucleotides. RefSeq lists it as uncharacterized. Lineage: Eukaryota; Metazoa; Arthropoda; Insecta; Lepidoptera; Nymphalidae. The record is from RefSeq and is a predicted model, not a curated record. The transcript is spliced from 2 exons.